GAUGAAGAACGUAGCGAAAUGCGAUACUUGGUGUGAAUUGCAGAAUCCCGUGAACCAUCGAGUCUUUGAACGCAAGUUGCGCCCGAAGCCACUAGGCCGAGGGCACGCCUGCCUGGGCGUCACACGUCGUUGCCCCCCCCCCAUCUACUCCUUCGGGAUUGCGGGGGGCGGAUGAUGGCCUCCCGUGCGCCUAGCCGCGCGGUUGGCAUAAAUACCAAGUCCUCGGCGACACACGCCACGACAAUCGGUGGUUGCGAAACCUCGGUUGCCCGUCGUGUGCGUUCGUCGCGCAUCGAGGGCUCGAAAAAAUGCUCGGCUCCGGCUCGGCUUUCAACGCGACCCCAGGUCAGGCGGGGUUACCCGCUGAAUUUAAGCAUAUCAAUAAGCGGAGGA
This 393-nucleotide unclassified non-coding RNA is filed under the name soil metagenome. RNAcentral describes it as "partial contains 5.8S ribosomal RNA, internal transcribed spacer 2, and large subunit ribosomal RNA". The stretch from base 1 to 122 matches the Rfam family "5.8S ribosomal RNA", at positions 35 to 154 of the family's 154-position model. The record is from RNAcentral.